GACGAACGCUGGCGGCGUGCUUAACACAUGCAAGUCGAACGGAAAGGCCCUGCUUUUGUGGGGUGCUCGAGUGGCGAACGGGUGAGUAACACGUGAGUAACCUGCCCUUGACUUUGGGAAACUUCAGGAAACUGGGGCUAAUACCGGAUAGGAGCUCCUGCUGCCUGGUGGGGGUUGGAAAGUUUCGGCGGUUGGGGAUGGACUCGCGGCUUAUCAGCUUGUUGGUGGGGUAGUGGCUUACCAAGGCUUUGACGGGUAGCCGGCCUGAGAGGGUGACCGGCCACAUUGGGACUGAGAUACGGCCCAGACUCCUACGGGAGGCAGCAGUGGGGAAUAUUGCACAAUGGGCGGAAGCCUGAUGCAGCAACGCCGCGUGCGGGAUGACGGCCUUCGGGUUGUAAACCGCUUUCGCCUGUGACGAAGCGUGAGUGACGGUAAUGGGUAAAGAAGCACCGGCUAACUACGUG
RNAcentral lists this ribosomal RNA (467 nucleotides) under uncultured bacterium. RNAcentral's name for it is "partial 16S ribosomal RNA". It matches the Rfam family "Bacterial small subunit ribosomal RNA", at positions 28 to 507 of the family's 1533-position model. The record is from RNAcentral.